RNAcentral lists this ribosomal RNA (492 nucleotides) under uncultured bacterium. RNAcentral's name for it is "partial 16S ribosomal RNA". It matches the Rfam family "Bacterial small subunit ribosomal RNA", at positions 29 to 507 of the family's 1533-position model. The record is from RNAcentral.
AGUGAACGCUGGCGAUAGGCCUAACACAUGCAAGUCGAACGGCAGCACAGUAAGAGCUUGCUCUUACGGGUGGCGAGUGGCGGACGGGUGAGGAAUACAUCGGACUCUACUUUUUCGUGGGGGAUAACGUAGGGAAACUUACGCUAAUACCGCAUACGACCUACGGGUGAAAGCAGGGGAUCUUCGGACCUUGCGCGAUUGAAUGAGCCGAUGUCGGAUUAGCUAGUUGGCGGGGUAAAGGCCCACCAAGGCGACGAUCCGUAGCUGGUCUGAGAGGAUGAUCAGCCACACUGGAAAUGAGACACGGUCCAGACUCCUACGGGAGGCAGCAGUGGGGAAGAUUGAACAAUGGGCGCAAGCCUGAUCCAGCCAUACCGCGUGGGUGAAGAAGGCCUUCGGGUUGUAAAGCUCUGUUGUUGGGAAAGAAAAGCAGCAGGUUAAUACCCCGCUGUUCUGACGGUACCAAAAGAAUAAGCACCGGCUAACUUCGUG